This 478-nucleotide ribosomal RNA is filed under the name uncultured bacterium. RNAcentral's name for it is "partial 16S ribosomal RNA". It matches the Rfam family "Bacterial small subunit ribosomal RNA", at positions 28 to 523 of the family's 1533-position model. The record is from RNAcentral.
GACGAACGCUGGCGGCGUGCUUAACACAUGCAAGUCGAACGGUAAGGCCCUUCGGGGUACACGAGUGGCGAACGGGUGAGUAACACGUGGGUGGUCUGCCCUGCACUUCGGGAUAAGCCUGGGAAACUGGGUCUAAUACCGGAUAGGACCCUGGGAUGCAUGUCCUGGGGUGGAAAGCUUUUGCGGUGUGGGAUGGGCCCGCGGCCUAUCAGCUUGUCGGUGGGGUGAUGGCCUACCAAGGCGACGACGGGUAGCCGGCCUGAGAGGGUGACCGGCCACACUGGGACUGAGAUACGGCCCAGACUCCUACGGGAGGCAGCAGUGGGGAAUAUUGCACAAUGGGCGCAAGCCUGUUGCAGCGACGCCGCGUGAGGGAUGACGGCCUUCGGGUUGUAAACCUCUUUCAGCACCGACGAAGCGCAAGUGACGGUAGGUGCAGAAGAAGCACCGGCUAACUACGUGCCAGCCGCCGCAGUAA